GUAGGGAAUAUUGGGCAAUGGUCAAGAGACUGACCCAGCCAUGCCGCGUGCAGGACGAAGGCUUUCUGAGUCGUAAACUGCUUUUAUCAGGGAAGAAUAAGGACCAUGCGUGGUUUGAUGACGGUACCUGAGGAAUAAGCACCGGCUAACUCCGUGCCAGCAGCCGCGGUAAUACGGAGGGUGCGAGCGUUGUCCGGAUUUAUUGGGUUUAAAGGGUGCGUAGGCGGCUUCGUAAGUCUGGGGUGAAAGCCCGCUGCUCAACAGCGGAACUGCCCUGGAUACUGCGGAGCUUGAGGACAGACGAGGUUGGCGGAAUGGAGGGUGUAGCGGUGAAAUGCAUAGAUACCCUCCAGAACCCCGAUUGCGAAGGCAGCUGACUAGACUGUAUCUGACGCUGAGGCACGAAAGCGUGGGGAGUGAACAGGAUUAGAUACCCUGGUAGUCCACGCCGUAAACGAUGGAUACUCGCUGCGGGCGAUACACGGUCCGUGGCUGCGCGAAAGCAUUAAGUAUCCCACCUGGGGAGUACGCUCGCAAGAG
Molecule: ribosomal RNA, 540 nt
Filed under: uncultured bacterium
Lineage: Bacteria
Description: bacterial SSU rRNA
Rfam family: Bacterial small subunit ribosomal RNA
Source: RNAcentral